GAUGAAGAACGAAGCGAAAUGCGAUACGUAAUGUGAAUUGCAGAAUUCAGUGAAUCAUCGAAUCUUUGAACGCAUAUUGCGCUCUCUGGUAUUCCGGAGAGCAUGCUUGUUUGAGUAUCAGUAAACACCUCAACUUCCAUAUGUUUUUUGAAAUGGGAGUUGGACUUGAGUGAUCCCAACGCUUUUCCUCACCGAAAAGUGGCGGGUUACUUGAAAUGCAGGUGCAGCUGGACUUUUCUCUGAGCUAUAAGCAUAUCUAUUUAGUCUGCCUAAAAACAGAUUAUUACCUUUGCUGCAGCUAACAUAAACGAGAUUAGUUCUUGUGCUGACUGAUGCAGGAUUCACAAAGACAGGCUUCGGCCGACUUUGUAAACUCGAUCUCAAAUCAAGUAAGACUACCCGCUGAACUUAAGCAUAUCAAUAAGCGGAGGA
This 432-nucleotide unclassified non-coding RNA is filed under the name soil metagenome. RNAcentral describes it as "partial contains 5.8S ribosomal RNA, internal transcribed spacer 2, and large subunit ribosomal RNA". The stretch from base 1 to 120 matches the Rfam family "5.8S ribosomal RNA", at positions 35 to 154 of the family's 154-position model. The record is from RNAcentral.